Molecule: long non-coding RNA, 424 nt
Filed under: Drosophila guanche
Lineage: Eukaryota; Metazoa; Arthropoda; Insecta; Diptera; Drosophilidae
Source: RNAcentral
GUUGUCAGAAUCAUUGAAAAAAAAGUGAGUAAAGAUAUGGCACAUAGAAAAAGAAAUGCCAAAAGUAUACUCGCUGAAAACUCAACCAAACAACUGUUCUGGAAAUCAACUUCCACGGAACUUCUAAUGAGGUAAAUGGAUUGGAAACGGAUGAUGGAACUGCACAGAAAACUACAGAAAAGCUUGCAUAUUUGUGCAACUUAAACCACCCUUUGGAUGGAUGAAGUUUAUCUUGUUAACCUUUUAUGCAAAGUAAUUUGCCAUUUGCCAUAUUUGCUAUUUGCUUUAAGAAACCCGAGAGCUGUUUGUUUAAACAUUUUCAAACGAAAAUGUUGAAGUUUUUUUGUGGAAUUUUGUUUGCCGGAAUGCUCAUGUGUGAGACCUCUACUAAUGAAUCAUGUCCAUGAAUAAAGCCUCAAGCGGA